Molecule: ribosomal RNA, 568 nt
Filed under: uncultured bacterium
Lineage: Bacteria
Description: bacterial SSU rRNA
Rfam family: Bacterial small subunit ribosomal RNA
Source: RNAcentral
AUUCCUACGGGAGGCAGCAGUGAGGAAUUUUGCGCAAUGGGCGAAAGCCUGACGCAGCGACGCCGCGUGGAGGAUGAAGUCUUUCGAGAUGUAAACUUCUGUCAGUAGGGAUGAUAAUGACAGUACCUACAGAGGAAGCACCGGCUAACUCCGUGCCAGCAGCCGCGGUAAUACGGAGGGUGCAAGCGUUGCUCGGAAUUACUGGGCGUAAAGCGUACGUAGGCGGCGAGUUAAGUCGAAUGUUAAAGCCCGGGGCUCAACCCCGUGGAUGCCUUCGAUACUGGCUUGCUAGAGGGUGAUAGAGGAAAGUGGAAUUCCGAGUGUAGCGGUGAAAUGCGUAGAUAUUCGGAGGAACAUCAGUAGCGAAGGCGACUUUCUGGGUCACACCUGACGCUGAGGUACGAAAGCGUGGGUAGCAAACAGGAUUAGAUACCCUGGUAGUCCACGCCGUAAACGAUGGAUGCUAGGUGUAGCGGGUAUCAACCCCUGCUGUGCCGAAGUUAACGCGAUAAGCAUCCCGCCUGGGGAGUACGUUCGCAAGAAUGAAACUCAAAGGAAUUGACGGAAU